AACGAACGCUGGCGGCAGGCUUAACACAUGCAAGUCGAGCGCCCCGCCAGGGGAGCGGCAGACGGGUGAGUAACGCGUGGGAACGUACCUUUUGGUUCGGAACAACUCCGCGAAACUGGCGCUAAUACCGGCUAAGCCCUAACGGGGAAAGAUUUAUCGCCGAAAGAUCGGCCCGCGUCUGAUUAGCUAGUUGGUGAGGUAACGGCUCACCACGGCGACGAUCAGUAGCUGGUCUGAGAGGAUGAUCAGCCACACUGGGACUGAGACACGGCCCAGAAUCCUGCGGGAAGCAGCAGGGGGGAAUAUUGGACAAGGGGAGCAAGCCUGAUCCAGCCAUGCCGCGUGAGUGAUGAAGGCCUUAGGGUUGUAAAGCUCUUUUGUCCGGGAAGAUAAUGCCUGUACCGGAAGAAUAAGCCCCGGCUAACUUCGUG
RNAcentral lists this ribosomal RNA (431 nucleotides) under uncultured bacterium. RNAcentral's name for it is "partial 16S ribosomal RNA". It matches the Rfam family "Bacterial small subunit ribosomal RNA", at positions 29 to 507 of the family's 1533-position model. The record is from RNAcentral.